UGCAUACUCCCCCCGUCCCAAAAAACUUGUCCCUCAAAUGGAUGUAUCUAGCACCAAGUUAGUGCUAGAUACAUCCAUUUGACGAACGAGCUUGGGACUAGCUUUUUCGGACGGAGGGAGUACAAA
Molecule: non-coding RNA, 126 nt
Organism: Triticum aestivum (bread wheat)
Lineage: Eukaryota; Viridiplantae; Streptophyta; Magnoliopsida; Poales; Poaceae
Source: Rfam